Molecule: ribosomal RNA, 324 nt
Filed under: uncultured eukaryote
Lineage: Eukaryota
Description: partial 18S ribosomal RNA
Rfam family: Eukaryotic small subunit ribosomal RNA
Source: RNAcentral
CCCUUAGAUGUUCUGGGCCGCACGCGCGCUACACUGAUGCAUUCAACGAGUUUCUUCCUGGUCCGAGAGGAAUGGGUAACCUUUUGAAAGUGCAUCGUGAUAGGGAUAGACUAUUGCAAUUAUUGGUCUUCAACGAAGAAUUCCUAGUAGACGUAGUUCAUCAGACUGCAUCGAUUACGUCCCUGCCCUUUGUACACACCGCCCGUCGCUCCUACCGAUUGAAUGCUCAGGUGAGCCAUUCGGACUUUCACCAUGCUGGUUUCCAGUUUUGAUGAAGGAAAGUCUUGCGAACCUUAUCAUUUAGAGGAAGGAGAAGUCGUAACA